AGGUCUUGCCUGCCCAGUGACUAGUUAAACGGCCGCGGUAUUUUGACCGUGCGAAGGUAGCGCAAUCACUUGUCUUUUAAAUGAAGACCUGUAUGAAUGGCGGAACGAGGGCUUAACUGUCUCCCCUUUCAAGUCAAUGAAAUUGAUCUGCCCGUGCAGAAGCGGACAUAUAAAUACAAGACGAGAAGACCCUUUGGAGCUUAAGAUAUAAAAUCAACUACGUCAAGGGCACACAAGCCAAACUAAGUAGCACCUGAUAGGUAUCUUCGGUUGGGGCGACCACGGGAGAAAACAAAGCUCCCAUGAGGACUGGGGCUAUACCCUAAAACCAAGAAAGACAUUUCUAAGUCACAGAACAUCUGACCAUAAAGAUCCGGCCAUCCGCCGAUCAACGGACCAAGUUACCCUAGGGAUAACAGCGCAAUCCCCUUUCUGAGUCCAUAUCGACAAGGGGGUUUACGACCUCGAUGUUGGAUCAGGACAUCCUAUUGGUGCAGCCGCUAUUAAGGGUUCGUUUGUUCAACGAUUAAAGUCCUACGUGAUCU
RNAcentral lists this ribosomal RNA (545 nucleotides) under Leptodoras acipenserinus. RNAcentral's name for it is "partial 16S ribosomal RNA". It matches the Rfam family "Bacterial large subunit ribosomal RNA", at positions 1850 to 2606 of the family's 2925-position model. Lineage: Eukaryota; Metazoa; Chordata; Actinopteri; Siluriformes; Doradidae. The record is from RNAcentral.